Molecule: ribosomal RNA, 253 nt
Filed under: uncultured bacterium
Lineage: Bacteria
Description: partial 16S ribosomal RNA
Rfam family: Bacterial small subunit ribosomal RNA
Source: RNAcentral
UACAGAGGUCUCAAGCGUUGUUCGGAUUCAUUGGGCGUAAAGGGUGCGUAGGUGGCGCCGUAAGUCGGGUGUGAAAUUCCGGAGCUUAACUCCGAAACUGCAUUCGAUACUGCGGUGCUUGAGGACUGGAGAGGAGACUGGAAUUCAUGGUGUAGCAGUGAAAUGCGUAGAGAUCAUGAGGAAGACCAGUGGCGAAGGCGGGUCUCUGGACAGUUCCUGACACUGAGGCACGAAGGCCAGGGGAGCAAACAGG